AGCGAACGCUGGCGGCAGGCUUAACACAUGCAAGUCGAGCGGGCAUCUUCGGAUGUCAGCGGCAGACGGGUGAGUAACACGUGGGAACGUACCCUUCGGUUCGGAACAACUCUGGGAAACUGGAGCUAAUACCGGAUACGCCCUUAUGGGGAAAGGUUUACUGCCGAAGGAUCGGCCCGCGUCUGAUUAGCUAGUUGGUGGGGUAACGGCCUACCAAGGCGACGAUCAGCAGCUGGUCUGAGAGGAUGAUCAGCCACACUGGGACUGAGACACGGCCCAGACUCCUACGGGAGGCAGCAGUGGGGAAUAUUGGACAAUGGGCGCAAGCCUGAUCCAGCCAUGCCGCGUGAGUGAUGAAGGCCUUAGGGUUGUAAAGCUCUUUUGUCCGGGACGAUAAUGACGGUACCGGAAGAAUAAGCCCCGGCUAACUUCGUG
RNAcentral lists this ribosomal RNA (435 nucleotides) under uncultured bacterium. Its description in RNAcentral is "partial 16S ribosomal RNA". It matches the Rfam family "Bacterial small subunit ribosomal RNA", at positions 29 to 507 of the family's 1533-position model. The record is from RNAcentral.